GAACUUAAGCAUAUCAAUAAGCGGAGGAAAGAAACUAACAAGGUUCCCGUAGUAACUGCGAGUGAACCGGGAAAAGCUCAAAUUUGUAAUCUGGCGGUCCUUGUGGCCGUCCGAGUUGUAAUCUAGAGAAGUGCUAUCCGCGCUGGACCGUGUACAAGUCUUCUGGAAUGAAGCAUCAUAGAGGGUGAGAAUCCCGUCUUUGACACGGACUGCCAGGGCUAUGUGAUGCACUUUCGAUGAGUCGAGUUGUUUGGGAAUGCAGCUCUAAAUGGGUGGUAAAUUCCAUCUAAAGCUAAAUAUAGGCGAGAGACCGAUAGCGAACAAGUACCGUGAGGGAAAGAUGAAAAGAACUUUGGAAAGAGAGUUAAACAGUACGUGAAAUUGUUGAAAGGGAAACGCUUGAAGUCAGUCGCGUUGGCCGGGGAUCAACCUUGCAUUCAUUUGUGGGGCGUACUUUCUGGUUGACGGGUCAGCAUCAAUUUUGACCGUUGGAAAAAGGUUGGGGGAAUGUGGCAUCUUCGGAUGUGUUAUAGACUCUGACUGCAUACAACGGUUGGGAUUGAGGAACUCAGCACGCCGCAAGGCCGGGGGAAACCCACGUACGUGCUUAGGAUGCUGGCAUAAUGGCUUUAAUCGACCCGUCUUGAAACACGGACCAAGGAGUCUAACAUGCCCGCGAGUGUUUGGGUGGAAAACCCGAGCGCGUAAUUAAUGUGAAAGUUGAGAUCCUUGUCGUGAGGAGCAUCGACGCCCGGACCAGACCUUUUGUGACGGAUCUGCGGUAGAGCGUGUAUGUUGGGACCCGAAA
This 808-nucleotide ribosomal RNA is filed under the name uncultured fungus. Its description in RNAcentral is "eukaryotic LSU rRNA". It matches the Rfam family "Eukaryotic large subunit ribosomal RNA", at positions 30 to 821 of the family's 3401-position model. The record is from RNAcentral. Lineage: Eukaryota; Fungi.